CAACAGGGAUUGCCCCAGUAACGGCGAGUGAAGCGGCAGCAGCUCAGAUUUGAAAUCUGGCCCCCCGGCGGGGGGCCCGAGUUGUGGUCUGCAGAGGAUGCCCUGGGCGCGGCGCCUUCCGAGUUCCCUGGAACGGGACGCCACAGAGGGUGAGAGCCCCGUCCGGUCGGACGCCAGGCCCGUGUAGGGCUCCUUCGACGAGUCGAGUAGUUUGGGAAUGCUGCUCAAAGUGGGAGGUAUAUGUCUUCUAAAGCUAAAUACCGGCCAGAGACCGAUAGCGCACAAGUAGAGUGAUCGAAAGAUGAAAAGCACUUUGGAAAGAGGGUUAAAGAGCACGUGAAAUUGCUGAAAGGGAAGCGCCCGCGACCAGACUUGGGCCCGGCAGGUCACCCAGGCUCUCGGGCCAGGGGCACUCUGCCGGGCGCAGGCCAGCAUCGGCUCGGCGCGGGGGACAAAGGCGGCGGGAACGUGGCUCCCCAGGGAGUGCUUAUAGCCCGCCGCGCCAUGCCCCGUGCCGGGCCGAGGCACGCGCACCGCAAGGAUGCUGGCGUAAUGGUCGCCGGCGACCCGUCUUGAAACACGGACCAAGGAGUCGUCCUCGUAUGCGAGUGUUGGGGUGCCAAACCCCUACGCGCAGUGAAAGCGAACGCAGGUGAGAGCCGAAGCCUCGGCGCAUCAUCGACCGAUCCUGAUGUUCUCGGAUGGAUUUGAGUAGGAGCAUACGGGGCCGGACCCGAAAGAAGGUGAACUAUGCCUGUGUAGGGUGAAGCCAGAGGAAACUCUGGUGGAGGCUCGCAGCGGUUCUGACGUGCGAAUCGAUCGUCAAACAUGGGCAUGGGGGCGAAAGACUAAUCG
This 855-nucleotide ribosomal RNA is filed under the name Cordycipitaceae sp. TW-2020a. Its description in RNAcentral is "partial large subunit ribosomal RNA". It matches the Rfam family "Eukaryotic large subunit ribosomal RNA", at positions 66 to 937 of the family's 3401-position model. The record is from RNAcentral. Lineage: Eukaryota; Fungi; Ascomycota; Sordariomycetes; Hypocreales; Cordycipitaceae.